GUUUUAAUAAUUUAAUUAAAAUAUUGAUUUUGUAAAUCAAAAAUAAGAAUACUUUUAAAACA
RNAcentral lists this transfer RNA (62 nucleotides) under Spilopyra sumptuosa. RNAcentral's name for it is "tRNA-Thr". Lineage: Eukaryota; Metazoa; Arthropoda; Insecta; Coleoptera; Chrysomelidae. The record is from RNAcentral.